Molecule: ribosomal RNA, 253 nt
Filed under: uncultured bacterium
Lineage: Bacteria
Description: partial 16S ribosomal RNA
Rfam family: Bacterial small subunit ribosomal RNA
Source: RNAcentral
GACGAAGGGUGCAAGCGUUAUCCGGAAUCAUUGGGUUUAAAGGGCGCGUAGGCGGAUUGGUAAGUCAGUGGUGAAAUCUUUGGGCUUAACCCAGAAACUGCCAUUGAUACUGCUGAUCUAGAGUACAGUUGCCGUUGGCGGAAUAUGACAUGUAGUGGUGAAAUACUUAGAUAUGUCAUAGAACACCGAUUGCGAAGGCAGCUAACGAAGCUGUAACUGACGCUGAGGCUCGAAAGUGCGGGGAUCAAACAGG